Molecule: ribosomal RNA, 724 nt
Filed under: uncultured bacterium
Lineage: Bacteria
Description: bacterial SSU rRNA
Rfam family: Bacterial small subunit ribosomal RNA
Source: RNAcentral
ACAGGAUUAGAUACCCUGGUAGUCCACGCCGUAAACGAUGAUAACUAGCCGUUGGGAGGGUUUACCUCUUAGUGGCGAAGCUAACGCGUUAAGUUAUCCGCCUGGGGAGUACGGCCGCAAGGCUAAAACUCAAAGGAAUUGACGGGGACCCGCACAAGCGGUGGAGCAUGUGGUUUAAUUCGAUGCAACGCGAAGAACCUUACCUGGUCUUGACAUACAGAGAACUUUCCAGAGAUGGAUUGGUGCCUUCGGGAACUCUGAUACAGGUGCUGCAUGGCUGUCGUCAGCUCGUGUCGUGAGAUGUUGGGUUAAGUCCCGUAACGAGCGCAACCCUUAUCCUUAUUUGCCAGCACUUCGGGUGGGAACUAUAAGGAGACUGCCGGUGAUAAACCGGAGGAAGGCGGGGACGACGUCAAGUCAUCAUGGCCCUUACGACCAGGGCUACACACGUGCUACAAUGGGAAGGACAAAGGGUCGCUAAGCCGCGAGGUGGUGCUAAUCUCAUAAACCUUUUCGUAGUCCGGAUCGGAGUCUGCAACUCGACUCCGUGAAGUCGGAAUCGCUAGUAAUCGUGGAUCAGAACGCCACGGUGAAUACGUUCCCGGGUCUUGUACACACCGCCCGUCAUACCAUGGGAGUGGGUUGCACCAGAAGUGGGUAGUCUAACUUAGGAGGACGCUCACCACGGUGUGAUUCAUGACUGGGGUAAAGUCGUAACAAGGUA